ACAAUCCGCGUCACCAGUGAAAAGAGCUUCAGUGUUACUGUCAUUGCUGACCGAACAGGAAUAUAUUCUGCUGUUUCUGCUGUUUCUGCUGUUUCUGGUGUUCUGGUGUUCUUGGUUGCAUCUGCUGUUUUUUAAUUUACUUCUGCAAGUGCCAUUCAAGAAGGAAAUACAUCAGGACGCAGCGAAGUCAUCAGGAAACUGGUGUUGAAGAAUCAUCCUCAAAUCAGAUUGAGCUUGUAGAGGCAAAGCCUCCUAAUGAACUGUCGUCAAAUCAGUCUGAGCUUGUAGUGACAAACACUCCUCAUGAAUCGUCAUCAAAUCAGACUGAGUCUGAGGCGGCCAGUGAGACAUUAACAUAACCCUGUUUUUUAUUUUGAUAUUUUAAUUGAAAAGAAUCAUUGAGAGGAGUUGUGAAACGAGAGAAGUGGAUAAAGCAAUCAUUGCACAAAGAGAAAUAGCUCAGAUAUAGCUUAUUAUAUUACAGAUUUAGAAUUCAGCAGACUAAAGAUAAUUAGGUUUUAAUUUAUUAAAAUAUAGUUUUUUUUUCUCAAAAAAAAAAAAUGUAUGAGAAAUAUAAUAAAAAUUAGAUUGAGCAAAAGUAAUCAUGAUGAUCAGUUAAACCAUUGUGCAGCGUGACUAAAUUUCAUGUUUUCUUUUCUAAAAUAGAAAACUAAAACUUAACUCCCCCAAAAAAGGGAUAAGAUAAUUACCCAGAUAGCAAAAUACACUCGGGCCAGAUCCGGCUAGUGUCUCGCCUGCCGGAGACUUUCCACUCGGCCCAACACGUCUGCCGCGCACUCGAGCCGGAUGCCUGUCGACUCGCUGCCCGAUUCCGAGUCAGUCGGGCUAGAUGCCACGACCGUCAGCGAGCUGACACUACUGCAUCCGAGCCGGUUCAUUUUUAACCCCUUAUCUACUUUACUCUUCACUAAUCUUUCAUUUAAAAUUGAUACGCAGGAAAAAUGAUUACUUUGAUUUUAAUUAUUAAUAUAUAAACGUCAUUAUGAUGAAUGCAUUUUAAAAGUAAAGAACUCAUUUGUUUAAGUUUGCAUUUAGUGAAAUUACCCUUGCAUUUGUUUAUACUUUAAAAUAUUUGUAAUUGUUUGUUUGUGGGGUCAUAGAUUUGUGGCUAAAGUUUCAAAUCCUGCAAGUGUUGAUCCAUGAAGUAUCACCAUAGUGUCUUUGAUCAAAACGCUGGGAACUGGAUCUCAGGAACUGAACCUGUAGUAACAGGAACUGCAAUAUCUGGACCAGAACAAAAUGCCAAAUAAGUGUUUUUUUUUUUUUUAAUAAAUAGUUUGUUAUAUAUUAACUUCUAAAUGUGUUACUUGAGACAUGAAAGUUUGUUUACUGUAAGUCAUUUUUACUGUUAUAACACAAAUAUGCACUUUGUUAUAAUGUUCAGAGGUUUGCUACUUUACCCUGAAUGUCUUCAUUUGAAAAAUUAUACUUUCUUUGUCAAUUGUUUUUCUUUUUUCCUUUGUAACUAAAGCUUUUUAGCUUUUUUAGCUGGAGUUAUAAGUACAGUGAGAUUUAGUAGGUGAAAUUUAUUAUGGUUCUGCUUUUGUAAAUGCUUUUAGAAAUGUUAUUUCAGUGUCACCCCUCACCAAAUUCAGUUCUGCAACCUCAGCAGAAAACCAAAACGUGCCUUGCACACUUAGUGCAAUAUUUUUAGAAACAUUUUUUUCCCUUUUGGUUUUCUUUUGCAGCAUCCAAAGAAAAUGUUUUUUUAAAGCCCUGUACAACUUUUGAUACAAUGUGUGUUGUAUAAAGCACUGCAUGGGGCUUUGUUAGUGCUGUUCAUUGAUUCGAGUAACUUUUUUGACAUUUGAGUAUAAAGUGUUUUAUUUCUACAAUA
Cyprinus carpio (common carp) is the source of this 1858-nucleotide long non-coding RNA. RefSeq lists it as uncharacterized. The record is from RefSeq and is a predicted model, not a curated record. The transcript is spliced from 4 exons. NCBI's taxonomy places the organism in Eukaryota, Metazoa, Chordata, Actinopteri, Cypriniformes, Cyprinidae.